UAAUCCUGCCCAGUGACUAAAUGUUCAACGGCCGCGGUAUCCUAACCGCGCAAAGGUAGCAUAAUCACUUGCCUAUUAAUUGUAGGCUAGAAUGAAGGGGUUAACGAAAUAAAGACUGUCUCAAUUAGUUAAAUAAAAAUUAUUCUCUACCUGAAGAAAAGUAGAUAUUCUCGAAGGACAAGAAGACCCUAUAGAGCUUUAUUAUAAAUAUAGAGUUAUACUAUACAAAAAUUCGGUUGGGGCGACCCGGGGAAUAUUCAUCACCCCAUCAAACAAAGAUAUAUUAAUCUAAUUAAUGACCCUUAAUAGAUCACAAAAUCAAGCUACCUUAGGGAUAACAGGCUAAUCCCACUCAAGAGUCCUUAUCAAAAGUGGGGGUUGGCACCUCGAUGUUGGCUUAGGAUAUCUAAAUAGCGCAAAAGCUAUAUAAAGAUGGUUUGUUCAACCAAUAAUUCCCU
Molecule: ribosomal RNA, 458 nt
Filed under: Pithemera sp. Isabela
Lineage: Eukaryota; Metazoa; Annelida; Clitellata; Crassiclitellata; Megascolecidae
Description: partial 16S rRNA
Rfam family: Bacterial large subunit ribosomal RNA
Source: RNAcentral